GGGCGGUUAGUUAAGUGGUAUAACUUCUCUCUCCAAAAGAGCGAUCGGGGGUCCGAUUCCCUCACCGCCCGCCA
Molecule: transfer RNA, 74 nt
Filed under: Minisyncoccota bacterium
Lineage: Bacteria; Bacillati; Minisyncoccota
Description: tRNA-Trp
Rfam family: tRNA
About the family: Transfer RNA (tRNA) molecules are approximately 80 nucleotides in length. Their secondary structure includes four short double-helical elements and three loops (D, anti-codon, and T loops).
Source: RNAcentral